UCGAACCAAGUCUACCAGACUGUCAGGUGUGAAAACACCCUAAGUUAAAAUGGGUUAUGCGACCCAGUUACUGCACUUUUAAAUUUUCCAGUCUGACAGUUUUGCUUUUUUUCAGUUGGAUGGAUGUAACAUAUAUCGAUAUCACCGAAUCCUGGCACUUUAACAUCAUUAUGUAGACUUUUUACUCUUUAUUUAACAUUUCCUAUUUCACUAGUCAAAGAUGAACCUUAAAGUCUUUGUCAAAGUGUUAAUUCUACCCAGAGAAGCCUAAAAUGAAGCGUUUCCCCAUUUUUUAAAACAUAUCUUGUUUUACUGAAAUGUGUUGCACGAAUCAUUGAUUUAGCACUUCUUACUCUGUUACCUUUCCUUAAUUGCUGUGAUCUUUCACUUGUCAGAAACCACAAUAAAUCAUUUUAUAUCGGCAUAUGAAAUGGGAUAAAGAUGAACGGUCCUGCUGAGUUGCAUGAUUUAGGAAAGAAAAUGUUCCGAUCCACUUCCUGUUCUGGCGCCUUAAGAAUGAAAGUGACAUCAAAUUCGUUAUUGCGACAUUACAAAUGAGAGAUUAGAGGGGAGAAGGAGGGGAAUGAUGCAACCAGAGUGCAAGUAUCAGGAUAUCAGCCUGCUGGAUCAGACGUACGGGACGUAUCGGCACAGCAGUUUGCUUAGUGUUUUGGAUCUUUGUGGAGCGUCUAGUGAAGCUAAAUGAAAACAUAUUGAGUCCCGAAGGUUGAAACACAAACCAGCAGGACAUUGCGGAAGAUCUGAUGGAAAACCAAGGACAGCGCCUUGAAAUAUUGAGGUCAUAUGAACUUUUCUCCACAUUUUUUUUUUUUUAUGCUAUAACCAGAUUUUGGUCCCAAAUCGAACCGAGUCUACCAACAACAACAACCCCAAACUUUAACCGAGAGCAUAUUGGUGUGCCAAGGUGGCCGAGUCAAUCUCCAGGCGUUGAUCCAAUUGAGAAUCUGCGGCAAAACGUGAAGACUGGUUGACGUCCGCCAUCGAAUCAGUAGAAAAGAGGCGGAGAAAAUGUCACUGUGUCUGUAAAGCUGUUUGGAGUCAGACGCAGAAUGACUCCAGACGUUUGCUCCACAAACAGUUGAAUAAUGAGGGACAAAAACAAUUUUACACCCAAAAAAUUAAAAAACAAAAUCUGAAUAUAUAGCUACCCACCAGACUGUUUUGGUCUAUCACAUAUAAAAUCCUAAUGAGGUACAUGGAAGUUUGCGGACGUAGCACAGCAAAAAGCCGAAGGAUGUGAAUACUCUCUCGUGUCGCCACGGCAAAUAAAAACACAGUUUGACAUUUAGAAGUACAGCGCUUAUUGGUUCGUCCAAACAAAAGCAGAGAAAGAGAAAGCUGCAGGAAGCGCUUCGCCUGGGACAAUGGUUGCAGAAUAAAAGCAAAGCUGAAGUACUGGUUUUUACAAAAGGUGUAAAAAUAGCUGCAGAACUAAUGGCUUGAAUCAGAAAAUAAAAGUACUGCAGGAGAACAAGCUCUUUCCCUUUGUACUAAAUAAUAUUUGUGAGAUUUACCUUUACAUUUUCGACACAAAGACAAGUAGAAAGCCAGCAAAGCAUCUCCUGUGACUGUGUCUGUUUUGUUUUGUUUUGGAGCAGUUUAACUUUCUCUCAGCCCAUAAAUCCACAAUAUUAGGUGCAGUUUUGAGACCAAGAAUUUCCUCCAUUAAAAAAAAGAAAAAAAGAAAUACAUGUGUGUAUAUAUAAACAACUAAAACAGCAGCCUGAAGCUGUUUCUGCUGCUUCGCUUGCCUUAACUCUGUCUGACCAGCACCGUUGUCACCAGGUCCCAGUGGAGCUGCUUCCUCCACGCCGUACAAACACACAGCCGUGCUCCGGCGGGAAGCGGCCGCAUCUAAAGUCAACAUGGCCGCCGCGUUCCCAGGCUUUGGAAAUUAAAAGGCGUAAUUAGGACUGCUGACAUCUGAUGGCCGAGCUGCAGGACGGGAUAUCAAUAUGGCAGCGUGUUUGUCUACAGGCUUCCUUGGAGAGGCGGGGUUCACCCUGGACAGGUCGCCAGUCCGUCGCAGGGCAACACAGAGACAGGACAAACAACCACACCUAAGGAGAAUUGAGAGAGCUCAAUCAACCUGACAGUCUUGGUCUUGGACUGUGGGAGGAAGCCAGAGUACCCGGAGAAAACCCACAGCAUGCACAGGGAGAACAUGCAAACUCCAUGCAGAAAGACCCUGGGUCGGGAUUCGAACCCAGGACCUUGUGUUUUAAAUUUUGUUAUGAAAUGUGGUGAAAUUUAGCUUGUGUCCAGUUUGUGUGCGGUCUGCAGAGAUUUCAGCUACUCUGUGGAAGCGCUGUGUGGAGGGAAGGUCCGCCCUGGCAAUCAUCUCUGCAGGCCUAAUUUGCUUGUUGUUGUGUGGACCCGACACGUUUUGUGGAACGAGCCAAACCACACGGCGACGGAGGGGAACAGGAGAGCCUGAAUAAUUGGCAGCGUAGACGAUGACCAGCUGCUCCUGUGGGACGUUGUACUUCAUAAAGGAUGCGCAGUCCACAAUGUGAGGAUCAUCUCCGUUGGGUUAUAGAUUGGACUUUUUCUACCCUUUUAAUAAAUGAAACAUUCGUUUAAAAAUCUA
Long non-coding RNA from Xiphophorus couchianus (Monterrey platyfish), 2611 nucleotides. RefSeq lists it as uncharacterized. The transcript is spliced from 2 exons. Lineage: Eukaryota; Metazoa; Chordata; Actinopteri; Cyprinodontiformes; Poeciliidae. The record is from RefSeq and is a predicted model, not a curated record.